This 465-nucleotide ribosomal RNA is filed under the name uncultured bacterium. RNAcentral describes it as "partial 16S ribosomal RNA". It matches the Rfam family "Bacterial small subunit ribosomal RNA", at positions 28 to 507 of the family's 1533-position model. The record is from RNAcentral.
GAUGAACGCUGGCGGCGUGCUUAACACAUGCAAGUCGAACGGAAAGGCUCCUGCUUGCAGGGGUACUCGAGUGGCGAACGGGUGAGUAACACGUGGGUGAUCUGCCCUGCACUUCGGGAUAAGCCUGGGAAACUGGGUCUAAUACCGGAUAGGACGAUGGUUUGGAUGACAUUGUGGAAAGUUUUUCGGUGUGGGAUGAGCUCGCGGCCUAUCAGCUUGUUGGUGGGGUAAUGGCCUACCAAGGCGUCGACGGGUAGCCGGCCUGAGAGGGUGUACGGCCACAGUGGGACUGAGAUACGACCCGGACUCAUACGGAAGGUAGCAGUGGGGAAGAUUGCACAAAGGGCGCAAGCCUGAUGCAGCGACGCCGCGUGGGGGAUGACGGCCUUCGGGUUGUAAACUCCUUUCGCUAGGGACGAAGCGCAAGUGACGGUACCUGGAGGAGAAGCACCGGCUAACUACGUG